This 254-nucleotide ribosomal RNA is filed under the name uncultured prokaryote. Its description in RNAcentral is "partial 16S ribosomal RNA". It matches the Rfam family "Bacterial small subunit ribosomal RNA", at positions 525 to 777 of the family's 1533-position model. The record is from RNAcentral.
ACGUAGGGGGCGAGCGUUGUCCGGAUUUAUUGGGCGUAAAGAGCUCGUAGGCGGCUUUGUCAGUCGGGUGUGAAACCUCCAGGCUCAACCUGGAGCCGCCACCUGAUACUGCAAUAGCUAGAGUCCGGUAGGGGAGCAUGGAACUCCUGGUGUAGCGGUGAAAUGCGCAGAUAUCAGGAAGAACACCAGUGGCGAAGGCGGUGCUCUGGGCCGGAACUGACGCUGAGGAGCGAGAGCGUGGGGAGCAAACAGGA